GUGAGGAAUUUUCCGCAAUGGGCGAAAGCCUGACGGAGCAAUGCCGCGUGAAGGAUGAAGGCCUAUGGGUUGUAAACUUCUUUUCUUAGAGAAGAAUAUUGACGGUAUCUGAGGAAUAAGCAUCGGCUAACUCUGUGCCAGCAGCCGCGGUAAGACAGAGGAUGCAAGCGUUAUCCGGAAUGAUUGGGCGUAAAGCGUCUGUAGGUGGCUUCAAAAGUCUCCUGUCAAAGAUCAGGGCUUAACACUGGGACGGGAGGAGAAACUCUGAGGCUAGAGUUUGGUAGGGGCAGAGGGAAUUCCCGGUGGAGCGGUGAAAUGCGAAGAGAUCGGGAGGAACACCAAAGGCGAAAGCACUCUGCUGGGCCACAACUGACACUGAGAGACGAAAGCGAGGGGAGCAAAAGGGAUUAGAAACCCUAGUAGUCC
Molecule: ribosomal RNA, 426 nt
Filed under: uncultured bacterium
Lineage: Bacteria
Description: partial 16S ribosomal RNA
Rfam family: Bacterial small subunit ribosomal RNA
Source: RNAcentral